Molecule: long non-coding RNA, 121 nt
Organism: Haliotis rubra (blacklip abalone)
Lineage: Eukaryota; Metazoa; Mollusca; Gastropoda; Lepetellida; Haliotidae
Exons: 3
Source: RefSeq, a predicted model, not a curated record
AAGUAUAUUGUUAAAGGAGAUGGAUCCCGAGGUUGCAGUGACUGGAGAUACCCAUGUUGUGGCGGGUCAUGUGGUCAGUCAGAAGGAUCUCGUCCAGUGCGGCAUCUUACGUCCUGGAAAA